AUGCAAGUCGAACGAUGAACCACUUCGGUGGGGAUUAGUGGCGAACGGGUGAGUAACACGUGGGCAAUCUGCCCUGCACUCUGGGACAAGCCCUGGAAACGGGGUCUAAUACCGGAUACUGAUCCUCGCAGGCAUCUGCGAGGUUCGAAAGCUCCGGCGGUGCAGGAUGAGCCCGCGGCCUAUCAGCUAGUUGGUGAGGUAACGGCUCACCAAGGCGACGACGGGUAGCCGGCCUGAGAGGGCGACCGGCCACACUGGGACUGAGACACGGCCCAGACUCCUACGGGAGGCAGCAGUGGGGAAUAUUGCACAAUGGGCGAAAGCCUGAUGCAGCGACGCCGCGUGAGGGAUGACGGCCUUCGGGUUGUAAACCUCUUUCAGCAGGGAAGAAGCGAAAGUGACGGUACCUGCAGAAGAAGCGCCGGCUAACUACGUGCCAGCAGCCGCGGUAAUACGUAGGGCGCAAGCGUUGUCCGGAAUUAUUGGGCGUAAAGAGCUCGUAGGCGGCUUGUCACGUCGGUUGUGAAAGCCCGGGGCUUAACCCCGGGUCUGCAGUCGAUACGGGCAGGCUAGAGUUCGGUAGGGGAGAUCGGAAUUCCUGGUGUAGCGGUGAAAUGCGCAGAUAUCAGGAGGAACACCGGUGGCGAAGGCGGAUCUCUGGGCCGAUACUGACGCUGAGGAGCGAAAGCGUGGGGAGCGA
Molecule: ribosomal RNA, 700 nt
Filed under: Streptomyces sp. DRL288
Lineage: Bacteria; Bacillati; Actinomycetota; Actinomycetes; Kitasatosporales; Streptomycetaceae
Description: bacterial SSU rRNA
Rfam family: Bacterial small subunit ribosomal RNA
Source: RNAcentral